RNAcentral lists this ribosomal RNA (253 nucleotides) under uncultured bacterium. RNAcentral's name for it is "partial 16S ribosomal RNA". It matches the Rfam family "Bacterial small subunit ribosomal RNA", at positions 524 to 776 of the family's 1533-position model. The record is from RNAcentral.
UACGGAGGGGGCUAGCGUUGUUCGGAAUUACUGGGCGUAAAGCGCACGUAGGCGGCUUUGUAAGUUAGAGGUGAAAGCCCAGGGCUCAACCCUGGAAUUGCCUUUAAGACUGCAUCGCUUGAACAUCGGAGAGGUAAGUGGAAUUCCGAGUGUAGAGGUGAAAUUCGUAGAUAUUCGGAAGAACACCAGUGGCGAAGGCGACUCACUGGACACGUAUUGACGCUGAGGUGCGAAAGCGUGGGGAGCAAACAGG